UACAGAGGUCUCGAGCGUUGUUCGGAUUCAUUGGGCGUAAAGGGCGCGUAGGCGGCGAGGCAAGUCGGGUGUGAAAUCUCAGAGCUCAACUCUGAAACUGCACUCGAUACUGCUUUGCUUGAGGACUGGAGAGGAGAUUGGAAUUCACGGUGUAGCGGUGAAAUGCGUAGAUAUCGUAAGGAAGACCAGUGGCGAAGGCGGGUCUCUGGACAGUUCCUGACGCUGAGGCACGAAGGUCAGGGGAG
This 245-nucleotide ribosomal RNA is filed under the name uncultured bacterium. RNAcentral describes it as "partial 16S ribosomal RNA". It matches the Rfam family "Bacterial small subunit ribosomal RNA", at positions 524 to 768 of the family's 1533-position model. The record is from RNAcentral.